GGACCAUCAUGUCGGUCGUGCCUCGGUACGUACUGGCAUUGUUGGUUUCUCCCUUCUGACGAACCACGAUGUCAUUUAUUUGAUGUUGUGGGGAAUCAGGACUGUUACUUUGAAAAAAUUAGAGUGUUUAAAGCAGGCUCACGCUUGAAUACAUUAGCAUGGAAUAAUGAAAUAGGACGUUUGAUUCUAUUUUGUUGGUUUCUAGGAUCGACGUA
RNAcentral lists this ribosomal RNA (215 nucleotides) under uncultured Glomus. Its description in RNAcentral is "partial small subunit ribosomal RNA". The stretch from base 38 to 215 matches the Rfam family "Eukaryotic small subunit ribosomal RNA", at positions 685 to 864 of the family's 1831-position model. The record is from RNAcentral. Lineage: Eukaryota; Fungi; Glomeromycota; Glomeromycetes; Glomerales; Glomeraceae.